This 253-nucleotide ribosomal RNA is filed under the name uncultured bacterium. RNAcentral's name for it is "partial 16S ribosomal RNA". It matches the Rfam family "Bacterial small subunit ribosomal RNA", at positions 524 to 776 of the family's 1533-position model. The record is from RNAcentral.
UACGGAGGGUGCAAGCGUUAUCCGGAUUCACUGGGCUUAAAGGGUGCGUAGGUGGGUUGGUAAGUCCGUGGUGAAAUCUCCGAGCUUAACUCGGAAACUGCCGUGGAUACUAUCAAUCUUGAAUACUGUGGAGGUAAGCGGAAUAUGUCAUGUAGCGGUGAAAUGCUUAGAUAUGACAUAGAACACCGAUAGCGAAGGCAGCUUGCUACACAGUUAUUGACACUGAGGCACGAAAGCGUGGGGAGCAAACAGG